CAUAAUGACAUAAUAUCUUUUUGGUUAAAAAGUGAGAAAUUUUCUUUUGAAAACACAAAUUUAUUAGCAAAAUUGAAUGUUUACAUCGAAAAAAGCGGAUAUGAACGAAAAAUUAGUUUCGACUCUCAAGAAAGCGGUACAUAUAAUAAAUUCGAAUCAGCGACAAUAACAGGGAGAAGUUGUGGGAUCCGUUUCGUUCGAUUCUCGAUCAAUGGAGAACGAGCAAGAUCGAAUUCUGCUGGACGGAAGUUCGUGUGCCGCGCGAAUAUCGAAACAGAAUCCGAACCAGUCAACUGCCGUCUCUCAAUACCAAAAUAAACUUUGGAGUUCGCUGCAACAGACCACGUCCAACGAUAAUGCAAAAGAUGGCGGUGACGAAGAAUUAGAGCAUCUCGAGGAUCUGAAGUUUGCGUUUCCCAAGAAGGUCAAGGCUUAUGGGAGAAGAAGAAAAGCGAACGCCAGCAAGCGCAGAGUCACGUUCGCUGAUCAUUAAACUCGUUCGCGGCGAGCGUUGCAUUAGAUUACAUUAAAAACUACCGCAAAUGCAGAUAUUGUAUUACGUCCUUUCGACCGACGUCUGUGAUCAGAUUUUUCUGCGUAAUAAGAUUUUUCGUUUAAAGGCGCGAGAGAGCAGAUAAUGCAGUUCUCGCCGUCAUAAAAUUCUGUAAUCGAUAUUUGUCGACGAUAUGUUCUCUUGUGAUUAGUAGUAAA
This is a long non-coding RNA of Pseudomyrmex gracilis, 711 nucleotides long. RefSeq lists it as uncharacterized. NCBI's taxonomy places the organism in Eukaryota, Metazoa, Arthropoda, Insecta, Hymenoptera, Formicidae. The record is from RefSeq and is a predicted model, not a curated record. The transcript is spliced from 3 exons.